CAGGCGAGGGGCUGGGUGGCGGUUGAGACAGCGGCGGUACUGGGAGGCGUAGGUGAGGGUCGUGAGGCUGCCUGAGCUUCUGAGCAAGCGCGGUGCUUUUGGGAACGCGGGACGGGCGAUCUGCGGCGCCAGGAGCUGGGCCGAGGCGUGGUGGCGCGGCUGCCGGCUGCCCUCUGAAUGGGAAGGUACGCGAAGUCCACCCGCGUUUCUGAGGCAAUCUGAAGGCAAAUCCUGUUUAGACCCAGGCGAAGGUUCCUGGUGACCCAGGCUCUCACCAGCCAAUUGUCCCUUGCCGUCCUCCUGAGGGCGUCUGGAGCUUCAGUGCUGUGUGCUCUUGGCCUCCACACUGGGGAUGCCACUGACUCCCACUGUCCAGGGCUUCCAGUGGACUCUCCGAGGCCCUGAUGUAGAAACUUCCCCAUUGGGUGCACCAAGAGCAGCCUCACAUGGUGUGGGCCGACAUCAAGAGCUGCCAGAUCCAACAGCUCCCAUCAAGGAAGAUCCAGAGACAUUCUCCUCACCAAGGCGUUAAGAAAUGCACAGGUGAGGGGAACAGCGGCAUGCGUGUAAAGGUCCUGUGGCGCCCAUCCUCUGCAUGCUGGAGGUCAUGGCGGGAGAUGCUGCAUGGAUUUGACCUCCCCACUGUCAGUGAGAACAACAGGGUUCUGGAAGAGUAGAGGACAGGCCAUGGGACUUGGCCAUCUAGAGAUAAGGCGGGAGGGAUUUCCUUGAGAGGCAGGGAUAUGUGGUGGUUACUAAUCAUUCGAAUCAUUGUGAGGUGUUUGGGAAUGUAAUGGAUGGGAAAUCUACUAAGAAAUCAACUUAGUAAUAAUUAGAAAAGCUCUAGUUCUGAGGACAGAGACCCGAUCGAGUCACCAUAGUGGGAAUUUAUGACCUGGCAUCCAGUUCAGAUACCUGGAGCUUCUUGAGUGAGGGAAGAUUGGAUCCCUUGAGGAAGAGUGAAGCCUUCAAUGCUGCCACCAGUGUAUGCUGUAAAUCUUCCUCCAGGCCUUCCCCAGAAGGCCCUGAAGCCAUUUAUGUGGGUGACUGAGGAAAGGGAAAUACUCAGAGCUUCUGUGGCUUGUUGGAUUCUGGCUCUGAAGAAUGCUAAACUAAGGGCACCUGUGGUGGCCAUGAAACUGCACUACUUGCAUCUCCAGCUGCAGGAGGCCUAACGAAUCAGCAGCCCCAGCUGCUACCCUCCGAAUGGAGGACUUGAUGACAUUUCCCCUGGAUCUGCACUAGCCCAUGAGGAGGAAAGCCUCCUAUCAAGUCCUCCCAGCAGAACACCCAUGAUGACUCAUGAGGAUGUUGAAGGUGUUUUCCUGUGGCAACUGUGACUUUCUUUCUUCAAAGUCUGUUUUGUUCCUGCACAUUAACUGAUUUAUGUCAAAUAAGAGAAUAAAUGCCUAGACUCCC
RNAcentral lists this small RNA (1419 nucleotides) under Pan troglodytes (chimpanzee). RNAcentral's name for it is "processed transcript". The record is from RNAcentral. Lineage: Eukaryota; Metazoa; Chordata; Mammalia; Primates; Hominidae.